UUGGUGAUUGAUAGGAAAAAGGUAUCGAUCCGUAGAAAGGGAGGAGAGAAUUUCUGUCACACUGAAAUAUGUAUAAGUAUUAACUAACUCAUAACUCAUGUCUCGAGAAUCCCGGUGUUCAACCUUUAUAGUUCCCAUCGUGAUUGUUAUUUAUUAUUCCCCUAACCCCUUGCGAAUUUAGUUUCAGUCACACCAUAAUUUCAACCUUAGCUCAGAAUUCGACAAAACCUUAAUCUCUAUUCGAAUUUAUGCGUUUUUCAUUAAUUCUAGUGUGACUAGGUGGGAACAAACAAGUGUAGACCUAUAAAGCUGGUGAACGCUUGAGGUUACACAACAACCAACGCGUCUGAUGUAGAUUGUCUUUAUAACUAUAUAAGACAUCGGAGACGUUCGCAUUUCGUGCAAAUCUACCUUUCGACCUCUCUCGCACAUUUCUUGAAUUUUUUACGUUCACUGAAAUCACCACUGUUGCGCAUAUAACUAACCAUCCUAAGAGAAGAUACAGUGGUUCUCUAUCUACAAUUGCUUAAUUAAAGUUAACCGUUUCAUCAUUGUUGCAAGAUAAGAAAGAAUAAUCCCAGUACUAUAAUCUAUUCAUUGGUGGAAAUGGCGAACGAAUGAAUACUUUUGAUGUAGAAGUGGGAAAGUUAGACAAUUUGAAAAUCCACUUAGUGAUUGUUUUUAUGUCAUGUACAAACCUGAUCGAAGAAGAUUACACCUUUGACCAAUACGAUUACGCCGAGUAUUACACGAAGUCGAGAAAAGUUGAUAGCGAUGGAUAUGUCAAGAGAGAGUUGUGUGAUGUUACUUACAGAGUAUCCAAGUUUAUGAACAUUCAUCUCUAUGUUAAACAUAACAUUCAUCUUUGGGUACAGGAGACCAAUUUCAAUCAUUUAUUAAAACAAAUUACCUGCGAGAUUCUAAAAUUCGUUCACAUUCAUUCAAACAAAAUCCCACAUUUUUCCUAUCAAAUUAAUAAUAUUCAAUCAAGUUUUUUGAUUAUAAGUGAAAAAUUCAAAUGUUUAAGGGAUAUCACAAAAAUUGAGGGACAAAUUAAACAAUUCUUUUCCCCAUGUCCAACUCUAAAAAUAUAU
This is a long non-coding RNA of Lineus longissimus, 1094 nucleotides long. RefSeq lists it as uncharacterized. The transcript has 5 exons. The record is from RefSeq and is a predicted model, not a curated record. Lineage: Eukaryota; Metazoa; Nemertea; Pilidiophora; Heteronemertea; Lineidae.